UCAUCGUCAUCUCAUUCAUAGCCACUAGCACAGUAUAUAGUAUAAAGUAUUUUUACUACAAAAACGUUAUUACGUAGGUCAAAAUUUUUGACGUAAGAGAACUGUCAAAACAUUAGAUUGUGACUUUUCAUUAUUGCCGUGUUUAUAAUAAACAUAGGUUAUACAUAUAUAGGUUUAUACAACAAUGCCACUAGCAUGAAGUUCAUUGUUCAUAAUUUUAUGUUUAUUUGAAUUUAUUAGCUAUGGAAUUUCAUAUUAAAAUCAAGGAAGAAUCUGUUGAAUAUGACCAAACACCUGUACAGAAUCAGCUAUCCACAUCAACAGAUCUUGGAGUCUUAAAGAAUGAACCAGAUAAUGACUCCGCUGUGGCAGUAAAAACCGACAUUAAGGAGGAGCUCCUUGAAGGUGACUUAAGAUCUAUAGAGAGUCAGCUAACUACAUCCAUAGAUCUUGAAGACUUAAAGAAUGAAUCAGGUGAAUAUAACUCAGGUUUUACUCAGGAAGAGAAUGAAACGAAAAUUAUGGAGACUUUUUUUGAACAUUCAUCUCAUAAAGGAGACUGUAUGAAUUACGCUGAGGCAAAAACCGUAAAUAAAAAUAUAGAAGUUCAGAAUAAACAGGGACAUUACAAUUGUGAAAUUUGUUUCAAGAGGUUUUCUCGCUCAUCUCAUUUGAAAAGACAUUUGAUGGUUCACAAGGGAGAAAAACCUCACAAGUGUGAAAUUUGUUUCAAAGAGUUUUCUCGAUCAUUUGUUUUGAAACAACAUAUAAGAAUACACACCAAAGAAAAUCUUUCUAAGUGUGAUAUUUGUUUUAAACAAUUUACUCAAAGAAAUCAAUUGAAACGGCAUAUGAGAUUGCACACUGGAGAAAAACCUCAUAAGUGUGAAAUUUGUUUCAAACAGUUUUCUCAAUCAUCUGACUUGAAAAGACAUUUGAUUGUUCACACGGGAGAAAAACCUCACAAGUGUGAAAUUUGUUUUAAACAGUUUACUCGGAGAAAUAAAUUGAAACGGCAUAUGGGAUUGCACACUGGGGAAACUCCGUACAAGUGUGAAAUUUGUUUUAAGCCAUGUUCCCAGCCAAGUCAUUUGGAGCAACACAUGAAAGUUCACACUGGAGAGAAAUCUCACAAGUGUGAAAUUUGUUUUAAGCAGUUUACCCAAGCAAGUAGUUUAAAAAAACAUUUGAGUUUACACACUGGAGAAAAACCUCACAAGUGUGAAAUUUGCUGUAGGCGAUUUAACCAAGCACAUGAUUUGAAAAAACAUUUGAACGUGCACACUGGAGAAAAACCUCACAAGUGUGAAAUUUGUUUUAAGCAGUUUAGUGAAGCUGGAAAUUUGAAAAAUCAUUUGAGAGUGCACACUGGAGAAAAACCUUACAAGUGUGAAAUUUGUUUUAAUCAGUUUAGUGAAGCAGGUACUUUAAAAAAACAUUUGAGAGUGCACACUGGAGUAAAACCUUACAAGUGUGAAAUUUGUUUUAAGCGGUUUAUCCAAACAAGUAAUUUAAAAACACAUUUGGGAGUACACAGUGGAGAAAAACCUCACAAGUGUGAAAUUUGUUGCAGGCGGUUUUACCAAGCAAAUGAUUUGAAAAAACAUUUGAAAGUGCACACUGGAGAAAAACCUCACAAGUGUGAAAUUUGUUUUAAGCAGUUUAGUGAAGCGGGAAAUUUGAAAACACAUAUGAGAGUGCACACUGGAGAAAAACCUCAUAAGUGUAAAAUUUGUCUAAAGCAGUUUUCUUAUCCACUCCGACUGAAAAGACAUAUGAUACAACACCCUGGAUGUAAACCGUACAAUUAAACAGUAGAACAAUGAUAAACAAUGGUUCUAUAAGACGUUAAACUAAUAAUUUGUAAUGCUAAUGGCCUACUGCGGCAUACAGAAACCCUGCAGUUAUACUUAGAUAAAAAAAAAUAGACAUUUGAUGGGUCUAACUGCAAAACUCACAUUCUCCACUUUUUCAAAUUUUACAGGAACUAAAAAAACUUAUAAAAUUUAAAAAAUUACCUAUUUUUCAUGUUAUUUCUUUUUUGUAAAUAGUGUAACAUAAGCAAUAUUUUUAAUAGCUUAUAAAAUGUUUAACUAGCCUAAUAAGGCAGAAAUUUCACAUUAAAUGUUGGAUAAUGUGAGUUUUGUUUAUUAUCGUUUUUCGUAUUUUUGUUUCCUUGAUUUCUCUUUGUUGAAAUUAUUAAUUGGAGUUACAUUUACUUCCAUUUUAUAAAAGACUUAUUUAAAAAUAUAAAAUUACAUUAAGGUAUUAAUUAAUUAUAAAUUACUAACUAAAAUAUCAAAAGCAACUCACUACUGCACAGCUUGUAUAAUAUUCAACCGCACAAUGUUUUAAACACUUAGGUCACGUGACCUAAAUGCGUGCCUCUGAUUGGACUGCAGGGAGGAAAAUGUGAGUUUUGAAAAUGACCCAGGUUUUUGUACUUGAUUUUAUAUGGGAUAUUGUUAGUUUUGGUUAUAAUCCUAUAUUACAAAUUAUGUAGUUCAAUAUGUAUAGUCCUGUCGCCAGGGGGGUACAACGGCCUCCUGUAUUCAGAUGGACUUACCAAAGUUUUUUUAUGUAUUUUGACACGUAGAACACGAAUUUUUUGGGUAACAGUUGAUCCGGAUGUCGAUAAGAUUGUUAUAAACUAAGAAGCAGUGGUGGCUCGUGGCUUUAGGGACAGAGUCGGCAAGGUUUUGUCUCCAAAGGCUUCAAUUUCAUAGGAGAUCUUUGGUUUUUGUUUUUGUUUUAUUUUUUUUUUUUUUUUGUUUUUUUCCUAUAAAUUUAGAAACUAUACCUGUUUAUAAAUUAACUCUAGUCUACGUUGUUUCGAAGUAGCAAAAUGGGUUAUAACGUAAUUGUAAAAUUUAUUAUUGUUUUGGAGGGAUUUUAAAAGUUUUUUUCUAUCGACAUUUGAGACAAGUUUGACAUUCUCUCCUGUUUCAUGGUGUUUCGACAAUACGUUUUGACUCUUUUGAGACAAGAGAAAUCCCGUUCAUUUGAGACAGAAUUUGCCCACAUUUGAGCACAAUAAUUUAUUAAUUUCGGUAACAGUUUGUUGUACAUAAUUAAAUGCAGUAUAUAAAAUUAUACAUAGUCUGUAACUUACUUAUCCCACCUUCCGAAAAUAUUUGGAUCAGAAUAUAAAACUGUUAAUCCAUUUUCUUAAUUUAUUUGAUUAAAAAAUGAUGGAUAAUUUUUAAUGAACUUGUCUAAUAGAUAUUUUGAAAAUUCUUUGGCGUAACUUUUAAAUUUUGAAUAGUCAAAGAGGUCAAUGACAUAACUGUAAGUAAAUAAUAGUUUUGCCUGGUGCAAUUGUUUUAACGUUUGUCGGGAGACCAUACAAUUCACUGGACAUCAAGACAGCCCCGUCAUAAAUUUGCCUUACCAAUUUAUUUUUGAUAUCAAAAAAUUUUAAUCUGUCCUUUAAAUUAAAACACCAAAAAUAUAUUCUGUCUUAUGGCUUCUACUCACGUCUGAAAACCUAACAACCUCUCAUAAAUAUUAGACGUAACGCAUAUCGAAGAACAAUUAUUGAUACUUGUGAAUGACAUGUUACCUCUAUCAGUAGUUUCGUCUACUUCUACCGAAAAGGAUCAAAAUGUAACUACUAAUUGAUUCUUUCAUUCUGUGCUGUUUUAGGUACGCCGCUAUAUUCUUCGAGUCAGAAAAUAAAUUAGAAAACUCCAGAUCGUAUUUGUUAAACAGUUUUAUUUGUUCUCUAUAAUUAACUUGAUUUAACGAAUGCUCCGAUACAUCCUGUCCGGUACAUCCCAUGGUAAUUCCUAACAACUUAAAAGAAUUACAAUAUCAAUAAUAAUUAAACGACGUAAAACUACUUACCUAUGUAUUUCAUAAUUUUAUCCCGGGCCCGCUAGCAAGGCAAUACGCUACGUACGUGCCUUUCUGCCGUUUGCAGAUCACCGCUCGGCAGAGGUACCCGCUGCCGCACUUGCCAUUCAAAUAAAUACGGGGAAUGUAUAAUUGGUUGCCUAUCGGCUAAUAUUCCAUAGCUCCUUAUUAUAAGCAAAUCUUCGAUCUGGGGACGGCAUGCCGAUGCCGAGCCGGGCUUUAUAAUAAGAAUUCACACAAUCGCAAUCGGGUGCGGGUCUGCGGGUGCAUGGCUAUAGGAUCAUUAAUUUGAAAAAUCUCUUACGCACAGGGAUCACUUAACUAACGUAUCGGGAUCGAAUUCUUUUAAAAACAAUGAAUAAAAUUUAGUCUGUAUUAUCUCACAGAUAUAUUUUUUAUUUCACAGAAACGAAUAUCAUCAACUCCGAUUAAAUCAAAUAUUUAAAAAAUCUAUAAUGUGUCCAUAAAUGUGUGGGUCGGCACUGCCGACCCUGACGAGACGCCACUGCUAAGAAGUUGAGGAAUUACAUAACAGCGAUUUCUCGCAAAACAAAACAUUUUUUUGUAUUUUUUGGGCCAUUCUAACCAAAAAAUGUUCCUACAAAAUUUUUCGUUGGAUGCAUAGUUUUCGAGAUAAACGCGGUUGAACUUUAAAAAAAUCGAAAAAUUGCAAUUUUUGGACCCGAAUAACUUUUGAUUAAAAAAUAAAAUAGCAAUUCUGCUUACCGCAUUUGAAAGUUCAAGUCAAAUUAUAUCGGUUUUAAUUAUUUGCAUUGCUAAAAAUUUAUUAUUUUAUUGUUAAAAAAAAGCUGAUAUAAACACCUAGUGCUUGAGUGAUGUUUUCAAUGAUUUCUCAUUUAAAAUCGAACGAGUAGUUAGAGCAGGUACAAGUGCAAGCGAGGCUAUUUCUACGUAGCAUGAAUUAAAACGCAUGUAUUAGGCACGGGAAACACUAUGUGUUUAUAGCUUUUUUUAACAAUAAAACAAUAAAUUUUUAGCAAUGCAAAUAUUCAAAACCUAUAUAAUUUGACUUAAACUUUCA
RNAcentral lists this unclassified non-coding RNA (4897 nucleotides) under Diabrotica virgifera virgifera (western corn rootworm). RNAcentral's name for it is "zinc finger protein 227-like". Lineage: Eukaryota; Metazoa; Arthropoda; Insecta; Coleoptera; Chrysomelidae. The record is from RNAcentral.